Molecule: ribosomal RNA, 492 nt
Filed under: uncultured bacterium
Lineage: Bacteria
Description: partial 16S ribosomal RNA
Rfam family: Bacterial small subunit ribosomal RNA
Source: RNAcentral
AGUGAACGCUGGCGGUAGGCCUAACACAUGCAAGUCGAACGGCAGCACAGUAAGAGCUUGCUCUUAUGGGUGGCGAGUGGCGGACGGGUGAGGAAUACAUCGGAAUCUACUUUUUCGUGGGGGAUAACGUAGGGAAACUUACGCUAAUACCGCAUACGACCUACGGGUGAAAGCAGGGGAUCUUCGGACCUUGCGCGAUUGAAUGAGCCGAUGUCGGAUUAGCUAGUUGGCGGGGUAAAGGCCCACCAAGGCGACGAUCCGUAGCUGGUCUGAGAGGAUGAUCAGCCACACUGGAACUGAGACACGGUCCAGACUCCUACGGGAGGCAGCAGUGGGGAAUAUUGGACAAUGGGCGCAAGCCUGAUCCAGCCAUACCGCGUGGGUGAAGAAGGCCUUCGGGUUGUAAAGCCCUUUUGUUGGGAAAGAAAAGCAGCAGGUUAAUACCCCGCUGUUCUGACGGUACCCAAAGAAUAAGCAUCGGCUAACUUCGUG